This 460-nucleotide ribosomal RNA is filed under the name uncultured bacterium. RNAcentral's name for it is "partial 16S ribosomal RNA". It matches the Rfam family "Bacterial small subunit ribosomal RNA", at positions 338 to 795 of the family's 1533-position model. The record is from RNAcentral.
CCUACGGGUGGCAGCAGUGAGGAAUAUUGGUCAAUGGCCGGAAGGCUGAACCAGCCAUGCCGCGUGAAGGUCAGUGCCCUAUGGGCGUUAAACUUCUUUUGUGCGGGAGCAAUAAUGGUCACGUGUGGCCAGACGAGAGUACCGUACGAAUAAGCAUCGGCUAACUCCGUGCCAGCAGCCGGGGGUAUACGGGGGUGGCAAGCGUUAUCCGGGUUUAUUGGGUUUAAAGGGUGCGUAGGCUGUGAGGUAAGUCAGCGGUGAAAUGCCUCCGCUCAACGGGGUGAAUUGCCAUUGAUACUGCCUGGCUGGAAUGCGGAUGCCGUGGGAGGAAUGUGUGGUGUAGCGGUGAAAUGCAUAGAUAUCACACAGAACACCGAUUGCGAAGGCAUCUCACGAAUCCGCGAUUGACGCUGAUGCACGAAAGCGUGGGUAUCAAACAGGAUUAGAUACCCGAGUAGUC